RNAcentral lists this ribosomal RNA (324 nucleotides) under uncultured Rhogostoma. RNAcentral describes it as "SSU rRNA". The stretch from base 104 to 324 matches the Rfam family "Eukaryotic small subunit ribosomal RNA", at positions 734 to 955 of the family's 1831-position model. The record is from RNAcentral. Lineage: Eukaryota; Cercozoa; Thecofilosea; Cryomonadida.
GAUUUCUGGUUUGACGCGCCUGGCCCGCCACGGUUACGUGUGUGAGUGCUGGAGCGUGUCUGCCAUCCUUCUAGAGAACGUAUCUACCUUUCAUUAGGACGGGUACGCGCCUCUAGAUCUUUUACUUUGAAAAAAUUAGAGUGUUUCAAGCAGGCUUUUUGCUAUGAAUACAUUAGCAUGGAAUAAUAAUUUAGGACUUCGGUUCUAUUUUGUUGGUUUCUAGGACUGAAGUAAUGAUUGAUAGGGAUAGUUGGGGGUGCUAGUAUUCAGCGGCCAGAGGUGAAAUUCUUGGAUUCGCUGAAGACUAACUUAUGCGAAAGCAUU